UCGCGGCUUAUCACCGGCAGUCCCCUUAGAGUGCCCAACUGAAUGAUGGCAACUAAGGGCGAGGGUUGCGCUCGUUGCGGGACUUAACCCAACAUCUCACGACGCGAGCUGACGACAGCCAUGCAGCACCUGUGUUCCCGCCAGCCGAACUGAAGGAUCCCAUCUCUGGUGCCCGCGACCGGGAUGUCAAAGGUUGGUAAGGUUCUGCGCGUUGCUUCGAAUUGAACCACAUGCUCCACCGCUUGUGCGGGCCCCCGUCAAUUCCUUUGAGUUUUAAUCUUGCGACCGUACUCCCCAGGCGGGAUGCUUAAUGCGUUAGCUGCGCCACUGACACGCAAGCGUGCCGACGCCUAGCACUCAUCGUUUACAGCGUGGACUAC
Molecule: unclassified non-coding RNA, 380 nt
Filed under: uncultured Alphaproteobacteria bacterium
Lineage: Bacteria; Pseudomonadati; Pseudomonadota; Alphaproteobacteria
Description: contains 16S-23S intergenic spacer region
Source: RNAcentral